GACAGAGGUGCCGAGCGUUAGGCGGAAUCACUGGGCUUAAAGCGUGUGUAGGCGGGCCGUUAAGUGCCCCGUGAAAUCCCCCGGCUCAACCGGGGAACGGCGGGGCAUACUGGCGGCCUUGAGCCACUUAAGGGCAGACGGAACAAGCGGUGGAGCGGUGAAAUGCGUUGAGAUCGGAAGGAACGCCCGUGGCGAAAGCGAGGUCCUGGACGUUGACUGACGCUGAGACGCGAAAGCCAGGGGAGCGAACGGG
RNAcentral lists this ribosomal RNA (253 nucleotides) under uncultured bacterium. Its description in RNAcentral is "partial 16S ribosomal RNA". It matches the Rfam family "Bacterial small subunit ribosomal RNA", at positions 524 to 776 of the family's 1533-position model. The record is from RNAcentral.